RNAcentral lists this long non-coding RNA (664 nucleotides) under Ananas comosus (pineapple). RNAcentral's name for it is "long non-coding RNA (ACOM_LNC039691)". The record is from RNAcentral. Lineage: Eukaryota; Viridiplantae; Streptophyta; Magnoliopsida; Poales; Bromeliaceae.
UUCCACACGAAGUCCAGCAUUAGGCAAUCUUGUCUAUGCACACCGGCCGCGCGAGCGCAACCACCUACCUCACCUUGAGGUACUACUAGGCCCACGUGCUCAAACUUGGCCACUAAUCGACCGUUCUCUCAACAGUGAUGCUACUUUCACUGUUCGAUCUAUCGGAAUGACAUCCGAAAUUUUCGGACCACUCGGGUGUUCUCAUAAGCAUCAUGACUCAACUCUCGCAAUUUACUACUCAUAUCGCUCUGAGAUUCGUUUCGCCACUUCUAUCUCUACCGCGAGUCUCACUUCUCGCCAUAGAUUACUUCUAGCACUUCGCUAGUGCCAUCUGGCUCUAUACCUCUACUGGCAGGUACUAUGCCCUCAGAUAACACAAAACUCCAUUUCUAGAGCAAUCAAACCUAUCUCUAGAAAUCCACCAUGAGAGAGAGCUUAGAAGCUUACCUCUCCGAGAAGCUCCGACCAAGGAGAAGAUGAAGAAGAUGAGGAAGACCUUCUUCUCCUUCUCUUUCUUUCCUUUCCUUUCUUCUUCCUCUUCUUGUCUUCUAGAGAGAGAAAGAGAGAUAUGAGAGGGUGUGUGGGUGAGAAAUGAGAGAAAAGAGCUCUCAUACCCCUCACAUAGCCCCACAUGUUGCAUAAGUGCAAAUAAGCCCCUCAACUU